Molecule: ribosomal RNA, 293 nt
Filed under: uncultured prokaryote
Description: partial 16S ribosomal RNA
Rfam family: Archaeal small subunit ribosomal RNA
Source: RNAcentral
GUGCCAGCAGCCGCGGUAAUACCGGCAGUCCGAGUGAUGGCCGAUCUUAUUGGGCCUAAAGCGUCCGUAGCUGGCUGAACAAGUCCGUUGGGAAAUCUGUUCGCUUAACGUGCAGGCGUCCAGCGGAAACUGUUCGGCUUGGGAGGGGAAGACCUGAGGGGUACGUCCGGGGUAGGAGUGAAAUCCUGUAAUCCUGGACGGACCACCGGUGGCGAAAGCGCCUCAGGAGGACGGAUCCGACAGUGAGGGACGAAAGCUAGGGUCUCGAACCGGAUUAGAUACCCGAGUAGUCC